GGGCUCGCUUUGGCAGCACAUAAACUAAAGUUGGAACCAGACAGAGAAGAUUAUCAUGGCCUCUGUCUAAGGAUGACGUGCAAGUUUGCGAAGCGUUUCGUAUUUUA
Rattus norvegicus (Norway rat) is the source of this 107-nucleotide small nuclear RNA. The record is from Ensembl. Lineage: Eukaryota; Metazoa; Chordata; Mammalia; Rodentia; Muridae.